CUGCAGCCCCUUGUCACCGGCCUCUGACUGUACAGCUGGGAGCGGGAGGUGGGCUAUGUGCAAUAAAAAUACCUCAAACGUGAGCACACCUCACAGGGAAAAGCUACAUAGGAUUCCUGGUUAGACAGAUUUCCAUAUGUUACAGCAGUGAACUUAACAUGUGGCUCUUACAGUAUUGCUGACUUCAACUCCCAGACUGCAAAUGGCAGCCAAAGCUACAUGUUUAAGAUCGUUUUCUACAGAAAUAUAUGAGUUUAUGAAAACCCAGGGCCCAAUAUUCAUGGGAAAUCAAAUAUUUUCAAAUCACCACAGCUCAUAUUACAUUACAGCAAAAUAAACGAAAUCCUAAUUA
Molecule: long non-coding RNA, 352 nt
Organism: Xenopus laevis (African clawed frog)
Lineage: Eukaryota; Metazoa; Chordata; Amphibia; Anura; Pipidae
Exons: 3
Source: RefSeq, a predicted model, not a curated record